This 788-nucleotide long non-coding RNA is filed under the name Medicago truncatula (barrel medic). RNAcentral describes it as "long non-coding RNA (MTRU_LNC001487)". The record is from RNAcentral. Lineage: Eukaryota; Viridiplantae; Streptophyta; Magnoliopsida; Fabales; Fabaceae.
UUACCUCCGAAAUAGUUCCACUGACGUGUACUCUAUAUGGUCAAGCUACUUCUUCUUCUUCAUCACGAACCAUCUUGUCGUAUAAUAACUUGUAUAUCUGAAAUAAAUAAAAGGGAUUGGGGUGAGACAAGAUGUCUCAGUGAGUUCCACCUAUCCUAGGCUAUAGGCAACCUCGGGGAACCUAGGAUCGCCAUCUGUUACUAAACUCAACCCAUUUUGGAUUUAUACAAUUUUACUAUGCAAAACUGAGCGCGAUAAUGGGAUAACUAGAAUCUAUGUCUGAAAUACUACAUUGAUUAAAUAAUAAAUACAGUCAUACUCAUAACUUUAAUCAUAAACAUAAUCACCAUAAUCAUAAUAAUAAUCAUAAACAUAAAUCCAAUAUAUCGUAUUCUAGUAUAGCUUAUACUUUGACAUACUUAUUUGAGUAUGUCUCUGAUUCUUUUUUUUUUUUUAUAACAACUAGUUUCGGCUAACUGAGUCGGAGUUCCGUAACUAAAAUUCAUCAUUUCCAAUGAUUGGCAAAAUGCCCAUAAGAUAUUGCUUCGUAGCUAAUUCAUACUAAACAUAAUUUUCAUGUUAAUAUGAGUAUCAUUAGUUAUACAUUUCAUUAUAUGCGUACAUAUCAUAUUAUCUCUUCGUUAUGGCGAACGGUAACUAUUUCAUUAUUGUUACUAUGAGCCGUACCUCAUAGGCUACAUUAUCUCUUCGUUGUAGCAAACGGAGUUUCACAUUCGUUACUAUGAGUCGUUCCUCAUAGGCUACAUUAUCUCUUCGUUGUAGCAAAC